Molecule: unclassified non-coding RNA, 518 nt
Filed under: Melitaea cinxia (Glanville fritillary)
Lineage: Eukaryota; Metazoa; Arthropoda; Insecta; Lepidoptera; Nymphalidae
Description: misc RNA ENSMCXG00005008505.1
Source: RNAcentral
GUAAAUAUUUGUUCAAAUGCCACAGUCGUACACCAAGGUUCAGGAAAUUACAGAUUCUCUACUGCAUUAAAAAGAAGAGAUACCGGUAAAGAUAUACUCUUUGAACGAUAUCACAUAACGAUAAAACCCAAACUCCAUAAAAGCAGUUCUUUAUCUGACCUUACCACGAAUGUAAGCGACCUUUGUGAGUUUCAAUUCUUUUGACUAUCUACAAAGAGCGAAAAAUUGUUACUCAAAUGAAAGGAACAUAAAAUAUUAUACAUUUGAUGCGUCAGGAGAUACAUUAGAAGAAUAUUGGUCAACAAAAUAUUUAUUACAAAAUAAUUAUAUGUCGUGUAAGGGAAAGAAAAAGUCAAAAAAGAAAUUUAGAAUGUCUCCAGACAAUUUUGCUUCAAGGCUAGCAAAUGACUACAUGCACAAGCAGGACAGAGAUAUUAAUACUUCAUCAAGUACUGACACAACAAGUAUGUGCAGCACAGAUGAGUUCAGUACACAAAAUACAGCAACAUUUCCUUUUA